UUGCAGGAUGUCUAGGGUUCCGUUUGCAUUUGCAAAGUCUGGUCCGAGAGAUAUCGCCCGGCGGCACAUCCGUUGGGUACACGGCGGGGCAAAAUCCCGGGAGGC
Molecule: small RNA, 105 nt
Filed under: Tateyamaria sp. ANG-S1
Lineage: Bacteria; Pseudomonadati; Pseudomonadota; Alphaproteobacteria; Rhodobacterales; Roseobacteraceae
Also listed under: 1 other name
Description: Guanidine-I riboswitch aptamer
Rfam family: Guanidine-I riboswitch aptamer
About the family: This family represents a conserved RNA structure found upstream of the ykkC and yxkD genes in Bacillus subtilis and related genes in other bacteria. The function of this family is unclear although it has been suggested that it may function to switch on efflux pumps and detoxification systems in response to harmful environmental molecules.
Source: Rfam by way of RNAcentral